AGGCAGGAAUGUUGUCGGGGCCAGUGGAUUUAGUAGUUUUACCCCAACACUUCGUACAGCUGACAUUACAACCAGGCAUUACAGUACAGGAAAAGAGUUAGGUGUGAGUUAUGUGGACGAAUGAGAACUGGAUUUCACUGUGGAAGGAAGGAUGCUAGGUUGACAUCGAUGGUUUUUUUUUUUGCCCUUGAACGGCUUCCUCUACUGUAAAAAAAUAAAUAAAUAAAUAAAAAAAAAAAA
Eriocheir sinensis (Chinese mitten crab) is the source of this 240-nucleotide long non-coding RNA. RefSeq lists it as uncharacterized. The record is from RefSeq and is a predicted model, not a curated record. Lineage: Eukaryota; Metazoa; Arthropoda; Malacostraca; Decapoda; Varunidae. The transcript has 2 exons.